Long non-coding RNA from Alnus glutinosa, 1097 nucleotides. RefSeq lists it as uncharacterized. The transcript has 2 exons. The record is from RefSeq and is a predicted model, not a curated record. Lineage: Eukaryota; Viridiplantae; Streptophyta; Magnoliopsida; Fagales; Betulaceae.
AGAUCACUGCAGCGGAGAUGGAGGACCGACAGGACCGUGGGUUAUGCUUCGACUGCGACAGCAAAUUCACGUCCGGCCACCGAUAGAAAUUGGACCAUGCAUCAAUAUUCCGAGCUCUCAUAAAUCACGAUUUUGCCAAAUUUCUAUUUUAGUUGCUCCGUCUUUGUCUUUUUCAAUGAUAUUGGAAACUGGAAAGAUCUUUUGACUCGCUUUUGGAAAAGGUAUCAGAAACUUUGGGUCGACGCCCGACGCUCGCCGCCCAGUCUAAAGCAUGGUGCAGUUGCACACUUAAACGUUGGUUAAAUGGGCUGUGGUUUCGGAGAUGGAGCAUGUUGGGCAUUUGAUGUGAAAAAUGAAAACAUUCUUAAAUAAAACAGAAAAGCCCAUCAGCCCCAACGUAUUAAUUUCACGGGCUGUUGAGUGCCGCUCCAUUUGCCACCUUCCUACUAUAAAUACACACACCAACCAGCGCCCCAACCCUCUUGCUGGCGGACCUGGAGAUGAGGAAGGGGGAGACGACGACUAGAUGCAAUAGACCACGCCGGUGGUCAACCACCCACAUCCGCUGGACAGACCUUCUGGUUCGACAGCCCUUCCGCCAAGUCCAAGCAGGCAGCUUGGGGUAGCUCUGUUAGGCAGAUCUAUGCCUUCGGUGCCGUCGAAGACUUCUGGAGCCUUCACAGUUCCUAGAGAAUCUGCCAACGUUGGUGUCUAUUGGAUUAGGUGGCAUCAGAGUGAUCAAUAAUUGCAAUUUUAUGGAUUGAAAUUUGUGUUUGAUGGUAAAAGAUUUGGGAUGGCUUGAUGAAUACAAGAGUUUAGCAUAUCCUAAGUGAGGAAAUAUCAAGCAAUUCCACACAGCUACCAAACAUACAAUGGGGUUCUGAAUGGAGGGCAUAUGGUAAGAAGGUGUAAUAGAUUUUUCUGAUUUUGGACUUUUAUGAAAUGUAAAUGGAAAUUGAAUGUAAUAGAUAUAGGUUGUUUGGUAUAUGAUUAGGGUACAAUAUUGGUUUCAUAAUCUUUUCAUAGUGUUCAUUGUAAUUUGUAUGGUGUCAUUUUUAUGUUAAUUGCCAUUAUACUUUAUAGUUGGUUGGACUUCA